This 360-nucleotide long non-coding RNA is filed under the name Mytilus galloprovincialis (Mediterranean mussel). Lineage: Eukaryota; Metazoa; Mollusca; Bivalvia; Mytilida; Mytilidae. The record is from RNAcentral.
CUUGGCUUUGUGUUUGGUACUUAAUAAAGGUAAAAUCUGAAAUGUGAUGUCAAUGGUGAUACUUUUGUGUCAUUGGAGUUACUGAAGGGUCAGUGGUGUUACUAUAUAAAAAUGCGACAUUUUUUAAAUUUUUAUUCAUAAAUGAAAGUGUUUUUAGGUCGUGUACGAAGCAUUAGGUAUAUUAUUAUCAUUUAAUCUUAUACAAUUCACAUAUAUUCAGUUUAAGUGUAUUUUUUAGUAUUUACAAAGGCCAUAAUUAGGACAGUCAACUUUUUUACGACAAUGUAUUCUGAAAUUUAUGUUUAAAUAGAAUGCACAGCUAUAUGAAUAAUGUCAAUAAGUCGUAAUUUAAACCUAAAC